GAUGAAGAACGUAGCGAAAUGCGAUAAGUAAUGUGAAUUGCAGAAUUCAGUGAAUCAUCGAAUCUUUGAACGCACCUUGCGCCCUUUGGCCAUUCCGAAGGGCAUGCCUGUUUGAGUAUCAUGAACACCUCAACUCUUCAUGGUUUUCCAUGAUGAGCUUGGACUUUGGGGGUCUUGCUGGCCUGUGGGUCGGCUCCUCUCAAAUGAAUCAGCUUGCCGGUUUUUGGUGGGCAUCACAGGUGUGAUAACUAUCUACGCUUGUGGUUUUCCACCAGGGUAACCUUCAGCAGUGGAGGUUCACUGGAGCUUACAAAUGUCUCUCCUCUGUGAGGACAGCCCUUUGAAUGUUCGAUCUCAAAUCAGGUAGGACUACCCGCUGAACUUAAGCAUAUCAAUAAGCGGAGGA
This 406-nucleotide unclassified non-coding RNA is filed under the name soil metagenome. RNAcentral's name for it is "partial contains 5.8S ribosomal RNA, internal transcribed spacer 2, and large subunit ribosomal RNA". The stretch from base 1 to 121 matches the Rfam family "5.8S ribosomal RNA", at positions 35 to 154 of the family's 154-position model. The record is from RNAcentral.